GAAAAGAAACAGGAAGCUUCUAACUUCCAACUAGGUUAAAAAUCUUCUUUUCU
This 53-nucleotide transfer RNA is filed under the name Arctotanais alascensis. RNAcentral describes it as "tRNA-Ser". The record is from RNAcentral. Lineage: Eukaryota; Metazoa; Arthropoda; Malacostraca; Tanaidacea; Tanaididae.